ACGGAAGGCAGCAGUAGGGAAUAUUGCACAAUGGGGGGAACCCUGAUGCAGCAACGCCACGUGUGGGAAGAAGCAUUUCGGUGUGUAAACCUCUGUCGUGAGGGAAUAAUGCUUGAUUUCGGUCAAGUUGAAUGUACCUCGAAAGGAAGCACCGGCAAACUUCGUGCCAGCAGCCGCGGUAAUACGAGGGGUGCAAGCGUUGUUCGGAAUCACUGGGCGUAAAGGGAGCGUAGGCGGAGACGCAAGCAGUCUGUACAAUACCGGGGCCCAACCCCGGACCUGCAGACUGGACUGUGUCUCUUGGAUAGUUCAGGGGCAGGCGGAAUUCCUGGUGUAGCGGUGGAAUGCGUAGAGAUCAGGAAGAACACCGAUGGCGAAGGCAGCCUGCUGGGGACUCAUCGACGCUGAGGCUCGAAAGUGCGGGUAGCAAACAGGAUUAGAUACCCUGGUA
Molecule: ribosomal RNA, 451 nt
Filed under: uncultured Fibrobacter sp.
Lineage: Bacteria; Pseudomonadati; Fibrobacterota; Fibrobacteria; Fibrobacterales; Fibrobacteraceae
Description: partial 16S ribosomal RNA
Rfam family: Bacterial small subunit ribosomal RNA
Source: RNAcentral